UAUAGGCAUGCAUUGGCUGCUUGACAUAUCCCUGGAAGAGGACAUCAACUAGCUAACACAGUCAAUGACAAAUGUCUCUUUGAAUUGAUAAAAUCAUAAUCAAAUAGAUAUAAUACAGAAGUUUCAAAGAUCUGUUUUGAUGUAGCCUGAAGAUUUUGUAAUGAAUGAUCCAGGAACCAAAAAAUCUUCGCGGAGUUCAAAGACAUUUGCCAUGUGGUUGCUAAUUUAGUGACAGAUUAAGAAAGAAGUUCAAACAAGCAUUGUCAUGGGAAAAAAUUAAAAAGGAAGAAGUUGGAGGUAAACAAAAAUCAGGAUGAAUAUACUAGAGAUUUACAAGUGGCUGGAAAUGCAAAAUGAGUAUUUCCAAAGAUCCACUGAAGUUACUGAGUAAUCAAUUGAAGUGAUUCAAGCAGCAAGAUGAAGUAUAUCAAGAAUGAACUGAAAAAAAUUAAAAAUAUUCAAGUAAUUUAAUUUUAAGCAAUUUACAUGUGAUAUAUAUGUAAUUCAUGUGAAAAACGUACGUUGGAUCCACAUACGUAAAACGUAUGGAAUGUAUCACGUAUGUCUAACACACGUAUAACAUACGUUUCACAUAUGUUCAUUAACGUACGUUAAACACACGUGGUACUUAAAUCACGUUAAACGUACGUGAGGUCACAUACGUAUCACACAUGUUUAACGUAUGUUUAACGUAUGUGGCACAUUUUGCUGUGUAACUAGCGUUUUACAGUGUACAUCGUUAAUUAAUAAUUGAUGUUUAUUAUUAUUUACAAACAAAAUCGUAAAUUUAUUAUA
Long non-coding RNA from Magallana angulata, 795 nucleotides. RefSeq lists it as uncharacterized. The record is from RefSeq and is a predicted model, not a curated record. The transcript is spliced from 4 exons. Lineage: Eukaryota; Metazoa; Mollusca; Bivalvia; Ostreida; Ostreidae.